GGGUGUGUAGCUCAGCUGGUAGAGCAUCGAUCUCCAAAGUCGGCGGUCGGGGGUUCGAAUCCCUCCGCACUCG
Molecule: transfer RNA, 73 nt
Filed under: Simkaniaceae bacterium
Lineage: Bacteria; Pseudomonadati; Chlamydiota; Chlamydiia; Parachlamydiales; Simkaniaceae
Description: tRNA-Trp
Rfam family: tRNA
About the family: Transfer RNA (tRNA) molecules are approximately 80 nucleotides in length. Their secondary structure includes four short double-helical elements and three loops (D, anti-codon, and T loops). Further hydrogen bonds mediate the characteristic L-shaped molecular structure. tRNAs have two regions of fundamental functional importance: the anti-codon, which is responsible for specific mRNA codon recognition, and the 3' end, to which the tRNAs corresponding amino acid is attached (by aminoacyl-tRNA synthetases). tRNAs cope with the degeneracy of the genetic code in two manners: having more than one tRNA (with a specific anti-codon) for a particular amino acid; and 'wobble' base-pairing, i.e. permitting non-standard base-pairing at the 3rd anti-codon position.
Source: RNAcentral